UGAGUGACUGGAAGGGGUGGAGCCAGGAUCCACCCCUUCCCAGACCUCAUUUAAGGGUUGGCAGUGGAGGCAAGGAUAUCUUGCUGGAGUUCCCUGUGUACCUCAGGCCUUCCAAAGCUACCUUUUUUGACCUGAGAAGAUUGGAAAAGAAGGCUGGAAUUGCAGGAUGCGGAUUUGGCUUCAGUCUUUACCUUGAGGAUUGAAGGAAAAUGAAAGAAAAGAACAUUCGACCACCACAGAUCACCUUCACAUUGCUCCAGCUUGACUGCUCCCUCACCCAUGCGGGGUAUUCGGAGAACUCUGGGAUUUCCCUAACUUGCACUGUGUGCGUACUGUGUCAAAUGGACUUUACCCAUGCAGAUAGUAAUGAGAGUGGAAACUGGAGGUCACUUGAAAACUGUAAGACAGCAACUGCCUUAAAAUCAUUUCAUACACUGACUCAUCAGGUGAAAUGAGAGAUCUCUGAGGAGCUGGGUGGUUCUUUCCCUGCAGCCAGAGUGGGAAUGUCCUGCACAGGUGGUGACAAGACAGGAAAUUGGAAACUUUACUUAGUUUGCUUUCACCUGGUGCUCCACCUCCAUGCAAGAGAUUGGUACUUCCUUACCUCACUCAAAGUGGUGGCAGGCUUUUGUGUGUUAAAAGCUGGGGAGCUUUUCUGGUGUUGCUGUAAUGAAGGCCAUUACAAUCUAGUUGCUUAAUUGAAUUAAAAUGUUAAAACACCUUCUGGUGAUAAUUAAUUGUCUUGAGCAUUGUCUUCAGAUAGAAGUGUUCUUUGGUAUCUCCUGUUUGCAUGCUUGUAAUGAGGAACUACAGCACUUGCUGUGUGUGUAACAUCUCGAGACUUACAAGAAGAGGAGUAGCAAGUUCCUGUUAAUCUACUUCUCCCAUUUAAGAAUGAUAUUUUUACUGAUGUGUAGGAAGUCAAACUUCACUGAUACGGCUAUCUGCAGGUUGACUAAUACUGGGCAAGAAUUAGGAGUGUCCUUAUGGCUUUGAUUAGUGAUAUCUUCACUGUCCUCCUUAGCUAGCGCAAGAAGAGAUCUCCAUCUACCUUCAUUCAACUCUUUGAGGUAUGAAAACUGAUAGUGGAAGUGCAAUGUGUUCAAUAGUAACGUAACAAAUAAUGCAUUUAAUCAGUCUGGCUAUGGGCUACGUGAUUCUUCCACAUCCUGAGGCCUGAUUACCUAUGGACAUCAAUCCAUCUAGCACUUAGCAUAUAUAUUUUAAUCCUUUCUCUUCUUACUCUGCCUUCGUGUUGCCACUUCAAGGAACUGUGACGUACAGUGAUGUGCUGUUGGCAGUGUCUAGUACAAUUUGGGUGUGAUCCCAAUGUAAGCAGGAACCGGUUAUGUCUUUAGAUGCACACAUUCCUUCAUGGACUGAAGAAAAGGGACUGGGUUAUGAUGUACUGAGCUGAUAUGCUGUUCAGUGUCACUUCGUGUCACUUCAGAUUCUAAUCGAGGUUUAAUCAGAGUUCACUGUUUUGCAGCCCAUUGUAUUUUAAAUAAUGCACAUAAAAGCCAGCUGGAAGAUUUUAAAAAAAAUGGAUAAAUUAUUUUUUCAUUUUGACCUACAAGAUGGACUCAGCGAUAGGGCUGAGUCAAUUCUCUUACCUGCUCUAGAAGAAAAUUGUGAACUCCCAUCUUAGAAGUCUUGUAUGCUUGACUGUCUUUUUUUAAGAAAAAAAAAACCUUUUUUUGGAAUGUCUAUGGGAGAAGCAAUGUAUAUCGGUUAAAAAACAAAGCCCCAGGUGAGAACUGAGUCAUGGUAUGUUCUUUGGUUAGACUGCUUUUCAAAGUUCAGGGUAAAGAGAGUGAACAACACAUCAGUAUUUUGCCAGUCUCUUUUCAUGCACUUCAUGUAUAUAAACCUCUAAAUAAUCCCUGCAGUAGAAGUUGACUGAUAUAAAGUCAAAUACAGCUUCAUGAUAAAAUUGACCGUAGGAUGUCUUAAUGAGUGUGUGUAGUGUUCUCUCUUUUUCUUAGCAUUUUGGGUAUUUCAUUCACAGCUGGAUUUAUUUCUUCUCAUCCCUCUUGCCAACAACCUGAAUUGAAUGUUUGAACAUACUGACUGUGUUGUAAGACUGAAAUAUCAACUGGUUCCUCAUUUCUAUGCAAACACACUGAUCUGUGAGCAAAGAGUCAAAAUCAGUGUUGGAGUAAUUGUACUGAAGGCAGACUUGCAACUGUGAUUAACUUAGUUUAUUAUUACUGAAGAAAUUAAUUCCACAUAGGGCAAUUAAGUGCUCAACAUUGCUGCUAAGUGGAAAGAGUCUUGACUUUCAAAGACAAUAGGAACAGAGAGCCCAGUAGCCUCUGUAUUUGCAGUACGCUGCACACCUCAGCUUUUGACCUUUAUGGUAAUGAGAUGGCCAUUCCACAUCACUGAAACCGUAUGUAGAGAGCAAUUUAAAAUAGUGGCUACAUGUCAGACCUGUGAUGCCGGAACAAUGUGCAUGUGACAAAGAGGAAGGUGAUUAUGCAAAGCAGGAGUUACUUUCUCAAACCAAACAAGUCAUGGGCAUCUUCUGUUCAUGACACUUGGGAGAACUGUCAGGCUCCUCUGAGCAAUUUGAAUCAGCCAGCGAAAUGCUUGCAGCCGCGGCUAAACACAAAACUCCUCUCCCCUGCUGAAUGCACAAUCUGCAAUGGAGGAAUUGCAUGCAGGAACCCACCGUGAGGAUUUUAUUAGUUUAAGGGUACAACUUUGAAAAACUUCUUGAAAUGCACAUAACCAGUAUUGGAAUAAAGACUACGUGGCAAUAUCCCCAAUUUAUAACUCAGUACUUGCUGCUGUCUCCCUUUUGUGAAGGGCUCUGGCUUAAAGCAUCUAACUAUUUCAUUUCUAGUUCUGCUCUUUAUGAAGGGAAGGUAACUAUGCACAGUGCUACUGUGAUGAGCUGUUGCAUGUAAACUGGCUGUCUUUGGAACAACGUUGCUUAGCAUUUCUAGUUGCUGUACAACUAAUGAAAAGAGUUUAUGCCUAAAUUCAUUCCUGGUGUAAUUCCAGUGAAGAGAAUGGAGCCAGGCAUGCAUUUAGCGCUGUGUUUUACUUCCCUUCUCUCCAUUACUCAAGUCUAUGAGGCCACUGCAGAGGAGGGAAAUAAAAGAUGGUGAGGAAGAAACAAGAAUGAAUGGACAGCUGUCGACUCUGUAAUUCCACCUGUGCUAGCAUAGAGCCGUGCAAAUGUACCAAAAGAAAAGCAACACAUCACAAGGUUUCCAGCUUUUAUCUGAAGAGCAUCUCUUAUCCAUAGAGAUCAUGGAGAGCUUUACAGUCGUGGAAGUGUGAAUAACACUGUUAAGUCCUUUCAGUCAGAGAGGUGAAAAGGCAGUCAUUGGACUGGGAAAGGGUAAUUGACUGAUGGCUUCUGUGACCCUGCUACUCAAAGAGACAAGGACCUUGUCAGUCAGACAAAAAUUACUACUUGGAAGCAGCACAGAAAUUUAGUCAUUUAGCUCCAGUUAUCAGUGAGUUCUGUGCAUUUUAACCCUUCAUACAAUGCUUUAAAAAUAUAAGAAGCAGCAAAGCUAACAGCACUUUAAAGACACUUAUGCUAUUAAUAAGAAAUAUAGCUGCUCGUUCUUUCCCUUAAAAGUGCAAUUAGAGAAGAGCAGGAGAGUGGGGAAGAUGGUGAAACCUGAGGGGUCCUCUGGGAACUGUGCUCCUACAGGGCUAAUGAUGCUCCGUGGAGCCAUGGGCACGUAGGGAGCAUGGCAUGUGGCUGGAGAAGAAGUCUCAAGGUCACUGCUCCAAUUUUUUUUGCUUUUACACUGAAAAGUAAAAGGAAGGACUCGAGCCUUACAGUGACUGAGAGCAGGUUUUGGCACCAUCUUCCAUUUGUGGCCUCCCUGCCAUAAGAUUAAAGCUUUGCAGUCCAGCAGAGUUUGAGUGACCUUUACAACUUGAGGUCAGGCAGGUUUUUUUUCAUCUGAGCUUCCAAGGCUUUCCUUCUGCUAAUCUUACGAGUAGAAGUGGGAAUUGUUCUUUGCAUGUAAAUGCACCUCUCUCAAAUCAAAGCCUGAAUUAUGACUUCUGGGAGACACCGGGAGAGAUCUGUUCUGUUCCCUCUCUGUUGUGCCGUAGCUCCGAGUACACUAGCUCGUGGAUUUUACCUAAAGAAGAGCUCGGAGGAAACCCAGAGAGGUUUUUGUUAUUGUCAUCAAAUGGACUUGAAAGAAAACAAUUUGCUGUGUUUUGAGACAAAACAAACACUUCUUAUUUUUCUUCCUUG
Molecule: long non-coding RNA, 4234 nt
Organism: Numida meleagris (helmeted guineafowl)
Lineage: Eukaryota; Metazoa; Chordata; Aves; Galliformes; Numididae
Exons: 4
Source: RefSeq, a predicted model, not a curated record